UGGGGAAUAUUGCACAAUGGGCGCAAGCCUGAUGCAGCGACGCCGCGUGAGGGAUGACGGCCUUCGGGUUGUAAACCUCUUUCAAUAGGGACGAAGCGCAAGUGACGGUACCUAUAGAAGAAGGACCGGCCAACUACGUGCCAGCAGCCGCGGUAAUACGUAGGGUCCGAGCGUUGUCCGGAAUUACUGGGCGUAAAGAGCUCGUAGGUGGUUUGUCGCGUUGUUCGUGAAAACUCACAGCUUAACUGUGGGCGUGCGGGCGAUACGGGCAGACUAGAGUACUGCAGGGGAGACUGGAAUUCCUGGUGUAGCGGUGGAAUGCGCAGAUAUCAGGAGGAACACCGGUGGCGAAGGCGGGUCUCUGGGCAGUAACUGACGCUGAGGAGCGAAAGCGUGGGGAGCGAACAGGAUUAGAUACCCUGGUAGUCCACGCCGUAAACGGUGGGUACUAGGUGUGGGUUUCCUUCCUUGGGAUCCGUGCCGUAGCUAACGCAUUAAGUACCCCGCCUGGGGAGUACGGCCGCAAGGCUAAAACUCAAAGGAAUUGACGGGGUCAUAGCUGUUUU
This 566-nucleotide ribosomal RNA is filed under the name uncultured bacterium. RNAcentral's name for it is "partial 16S ribosomal RNA". It matches the Rfam family "Bacterial small subunit ribosomal RNA", at positions 355 to 936 of the family's 1533-position model. The record is from RNAcentral.